UGAACGCUGGCGGCGUGCCUCAUACAUGCACGUCGAGCGAACAGACGAGGAGCUUGCUCCUCUGACGUUAGCGGCGGACGGGUGAGUAACACGUGGAUAACCUACCUAUAAGACUGGGAUAACUUCGGGAAACCGGAGCUAAUACCGGAUAAUAUAUUGAACCGCAUGGUUCAAUAGUGAAAGACGGUUUUGCUGUCACUUAUAGAUGGAUCCGCGCCGCAUUAGCUAGUUGGUAAGGUAACGGCUUACCAAGGCAACGAUGCGUAGCCGACCUGAGAGGGUGAUCGGCCACACUGGAACUGAGACACGGUCCAGACUCCUACGGGAGGCAGCAGUAGGGAAUCUUCCGCAAUGGGCGAAAGCCUGACGGAGCAACGCCGCGUGAGUGAUGAAGGUCUUCGGAUCGUAAAACUCUGUUAUUAGGGAAGAACAAAUGUGUAAGUAACUAUGCACGUCUUGACGGUACCUAAUCAGAAAGCCACGGCUAACUACGUG
This 495-nucleotide ribosomal RNA is filed under the name uncultured bacterium. RNAcentral's name for it is "partial 16S ribosomal RNA". It matches the Rfam family "Bacterial small subunit ribosomal RNA", at positions 30 to 507 of the family's 1533-position model. The record is from RNAcentral.